UUUCUUAGCAUUCUUCUGGGCUCAUCAUUCAGGGGGGAUCAGACUUUCUGGGCUGACUGGGGUAGAAGAGCAACUGAAGAGCAGAAUUUUCUACUGCAGUGGUUCCAGAAGGAAGUACAUCACUAAAUUAUUGAUAAGGUGAUCUCAACCUCACCUGCUGUGAAGAUGGCAAGUCUAGGAACCCUCAUGUUUAUGACUCAGUUUACCAGGAAGACAGUGCCCCCAACGUAUCUCCGUUGAGUAUCUCAUCAAACCUCUUCUGAAAAGUACUUUUGGGGUCAGCAUCAUCAAGACCACAUUACAGAAUGGCAGAAAACGGAUGACACAUGCGGGCCACUCUGAAAUGGAGCAGCUCUGCCAAAGGAACAGUGAGAGGAGAGCCAAUCCAGCUGUGCUUCCAGAAUACUUGCAGGGUGUGCUUUACAUAUAUGCUCCUGGAGGCAGGCUGCUGUGGGGUCCCAGCGCCAGAAAGCAGCAGCAGCUCCGUGAUGCUCCCUUUGCCCAAUGACAGGUGCUCUUCAUGAGCACCACAAACAAGGGCCUUUACCUGAAUCCUGCUUGGCUUGUUCGGACAGCAACAAUCGUGGAAUGAUGUGAAUGGGCUCAAGUACGUCUGUACUUAUCAGGAACUGAGGAGGUGUUUACUGGGCAGAGGGUCCUGCUUUUUACAGCUGUUGGAUGUGGUCAUUUCCUACAAUCACACAGACACAUUCUGUUAUCAGUAUAGAGUCACUCCUGGGUUCUCUCAGGAGGACUAUAUAAGGCCUUCAAAAUGUGAUCCUGAAAUCAGCAGGAUCACCUGGGAGCUUACUGGAAAUGCAGAAGAAUAUGAGGUCCCAUCUGGGGCCUGCUGAAUCGGAAUCUGUCCUUACAAGAUUCCCAAGGGGUUCAUAUGCACAUUGAAAUUUGAGAAGCCCUGACCUAAGGCACAAAAGCAUGCCAAUAAAACAAUCAGCUUCAGA
This is a long non-coding RNA of Canis lupus familiaris (dog), 962 nucleotides long. RefSeq lists it as uncharacterized. The record is from RefSeq and is a predicted model, not a curated record. Lineage: Eukaryota; Metazoa; Chordata; Mammalia; Carnivora; Canidae. The transcript is spliced from 2 exons.